RNAcentral lists this long non-coding RNA (437 nucleotides) under Nicotiana tabacum (common tobacco). Its description in RNAcentral is "long non-coding RNA (NTAB_LNC011630)". Lineage: Eukaryota; Viridiplantae; Streptophyta; Magnoliopsida; Solanales; Solanaceae. The record is from RNAcentral.
CGGAUUUUGGGGAGGGAAGCUGGAGGGAGGAUAACCACUUUGUGAGAAAUUUGGUUGUGGUGGUGGAUGGCCCCUUGUGCCUUCACCAUCAUACAUCACAUAUGCAUUUCCUGGAGAGAGUGUUGGAUGAGCUCCACUAGCUGCAUACCCAUCGCCCACUGCACCAAAUGAAGGCUUAAGAUGUGGCGGCGCAGGCUGUUGCUGAAGGGGCCUACUAGACCUAUCAUACCCAUAAGGCAUUGCUUCGGGACGGCUAGCAACUGGUUGAGAUAUUCCAGAAAAUGGCACUUGCAUUGGCAUACUAUUGGGCGCCGUCUCAGGAGUAGGAUUAGGCUGACUGGGCGGAUAAGAGGGAUAAACAGCAGGUGAUGUAGGUCUAGCUUGCUGUUGCAUACUUGGUAUUUGUGAAUGUUGAACCUGUUGUGGUACCUGUUGGG